CAGCCGCCGCGGUAAUACCAGCCCCGCGAGUGGUCGGGACGGUUAUUGGGCCUAAAGCGCCCGUAGCCGGCCCGGCAAGUCCCUCCUUAAAGCCUCGGGCCCAACCCGAGGACGGGGGGGAUACUGCCGGGCUAGGGGGCGGGAGAGGCCGGCGGUACUCCCGGGGUAGGGGCGAAAUCCGUUAAUCCCGGGAGGACCACCAGUGGCGAAGGCGGCCGGCUGGAACGCGCCCGACGGUGAGGGGCGAAAGCCGGGGGAGCGAACCGGAUUAGAUCCCCGGGUAGUCCCGGCUGUAAACGAUGCGGGCUAGCUGUUGGGCGGGCUUAGAGCCCGCCCAGUGGCGCAGGGAAGCCGUUAAGUCCGCCGCCUGGGGAGUACGGCCGCAAGGCUGAAACUUAAAGGAAUUGGCGGG
Molecule: ribosomal RNA, 412 nt
Filed under: uncultured microorganism
Description: bacterial SSU rRNA
Rfam family: Archaeal small subunit ribosomal RNA
Source: RNAcentral